AUUGAACGCUGGCGGCAUGCCUUACACAUGCAAGUCGAACGGCAGCGCGGGGCAACCUGGCGGCGAGUGGCGAACGGGUGAGUAAUAUAUCGGAACGUACCCUGGAGUGGGGGAUAACGUAGCGAAAGUUACGCUAAUACCGCAUACGAUCUAAGGAUGAAAGCAGGGGACCGCAAGGCCUUGUGCUCCUGGAGCGGCCGAUAUCUGAUUAGCUAGUUGGUGGGGUAAAGGCCUACCAAGGCAUCGAUCAGUAGCUGGUCUGAGAGGACGACCAGCCACACUGGAACUGAGACACGGUCCAGACUCCUACGGGAGGCAGCAGUGGGGAAUUUUGGACAAUGGGCGCAAGCCUGAUCCAGCAAUGCCGCGUGAGUGAAGAAGGCCUUCGGGUUGUAAAGCUCUUUUGUCAGGGAAGAAACGGUGRAGGCUAAUAUCCUUUGCUAAUGACGGUA
RNAcentral lists this ribosomal RNA (452 nucleotides) under Massilia sp. R-44262. RNAcentral describes it as "bacterial SSU rRNA". It matches the Rfam family "Bacterial small subunit ribosomal RNA", at positions 30 to 477 of the family's 1533-position model. The record is from RNAcentral. Lineage: Bacteria; Pseudomonadati; Pseudomonadota; Betaproteobacteria; Burkholderiales; Oxalobacteraceae.